UGUGUGACAGAGGUUCCUAGCAGAACACUUGAAAAGGUAAGCUAAUCAAAAUGAAGACACUGUUAGUUCUCGUCUUCAAGACAGCCUUCUUAAAGAUAGUUCACAAUUACAAGACUCAACCAUUGUCGACAAUUUUAUUGUAUGUAUAUUAUCAAAAUCUUUCUCAAGGUAGCCCUAAAAAAUUAUACAGCAGAGAUGAGUCCUCCUUUUUUUUAUUAUUAUAGGUCAAAGUCAUUGGACAAAGGAUAUUUUCUAUUUUAUGCAGGGCCAGGCUUGGACUAUUAUGAAUGUUGCUGAACACUGUUAAUCAAGCUUACACAGCUAUUUUGAUGGCAAACAAUUAGAACUCUGCAGCUCUACCUUGCAAUUAGCUUCAGGGAUAUGGACCUCAGCACCAUAAUAAUGAAAGAGACCUCCUUCAAGCACGACUUCCAAGCAUUGCUGUUACCAAAUUUCAUCAGCCAACUAUCUGCUGUGGCCUGUCAAACAGAAUCCACGUGCAUGAUCUGGAUUUUGAUUCGGGGAGCGCUUGCAAAAGAAUUAGUAGCAAAACAGGAUCCUGAAAGUUUCAAUACUUCAGAUGACCUUGGAUUUGAACUACAUCUGACUUUUCCAAUUAGCUGUUGCUAAAUAUUCUCAGAAAGGGCUCACCACAUUUGUUGAUUUUUUUUUUUCCUGCCAAGAAUGGCUACAAUGCAGAAAAUUAGAAGAUGUAGGUGUUUAGGCCACUCACCAGUCAUGAGGAUGUGGACAUUUUUUACAGAAGUUCACUUUUCUUGAUCUGAAAGUGGAGACAAUCAUAUUUUUCCUACUCACAAAAGCCAACUUCCAGGAUGUUACGUUGAUAUAAUACAUGCAAAUAUACAAAAAAUAAUCUAUAAUUUGUAUUAAAAAUAUGCAAGAAAAAUAUACUUCAUAAAUAAGGAAGGUCAUUAUCAAUUCAAAACAGAAUAUUCCACUGAAAAUAAUAGAUUUUUUUUUCUGCUCCUCAACCACUCCUCUGAUUAUUUUUUCUUACUUUCCCUGGCAUCACUCUACUCUCCCCCCAAAAAAAAGAAAAAAGGAAGAAAGAAAAAAAUAAGAAAGAAAAACAAAAAGAAAGAAGAAAGAACAAAAGAAAGAAAAGAAAAAAAAUGCUUUCCUUAUAUGUUUUUGUUUUGUUUUUAGAUUUUAUUUAUUUAGUUGAGAAAGAGAGAGAGAGAGCACAUGAGUAGGGGAAGGGGCAGAGAGAGAAGCAGAGUCCCCACUGAGCAGGGAGCCAGACUCUGGCUUGAUCCCAGGUUCCUGAGAUCAUGGCCUGAGCCAAAGGAAGCCAUUAAAUGACUGUCACACAGGUGUUCUUGCUUCAUUUGUCUGAAUAAAUUUGUGAUGUAACUGCUUGUUAAGAUGAUA
RNAcentral lists this long non-coding RNA (1392 nucleotides) under Vulpes vulpes (red fox). RNAcentral describes it as "lncRNA (ENSVVUG00000019597.1)". Lineage: Eukaryota; Metazoa; Chordata; Mammalia; Carnivora; Canidae. The record is from RNAcentral.